GGCUGGGUAGCUCAGCUGGUUAGAGCGCGGCACUCAUAAUGCCGAAGUCGGUGGUUCAAGUCCACCUCCAGCCACCA
RNAcentral lists this transfer RNA (77 nucleotides) under Rhodospirillaceae bacterium. RNAcentral describes it as "tRNA-Met". It matches the Rfam family "tRNA". From Rfam's summary of the family: Transfer RNA (tRNA) molecules are approximately 80 nucleotides in length. Their secondary structure includes four short double-helical elements and three loops (D, anti-codon, and T loops). Lineage: Bacteria; Pseudomonadati; Pseudomonadota; Alphaproteobacteria; Rhodospirillales; Rhodospirillaceae. The record is from RNAcentral.